RNAcentral lists this ribosomal RNA (253 nucleotides) under uncultured bacterium. Its description in RNAcentral is "partial 16S ribosomal RNA". It matches the Rfam family "Bacterial small subunit ribosomal RNA", at positions 524 to 776 of the family's 1533-position model. The record is from RNAcentral.
UACGUAGGGUGCAAGCGUUGUCCGGAAUUAUUGGGCGUAAAGAGCUCGUAGGCGGUCUGUCGCGUCUGCUGUGAAAACCCGAGGCUCAACCUCGGGCCUGCAGUGGGUACGGGCAGACUAGAGUGCGGUAGGGGAGAAUGGAAUUCCUGGUGUAGCGGUGGAAUGCGCAGAUAUCAGGAGGAACACCGGUGGCGAAGGCGGAUCUCUGGGCCUUACCUGACGCUGAGGAGCGAAAGCAUGGGGAGCAAACAGG